RNAcentral lists this ribosomal RNA (855 nucleotides) under Cladosporium adianticola. Its description in RNAcentral is "LSU rRNA". It matches the Rfam family "Eukaryotic large subunit ribosomal RNA", at positions 74 to 945 of the family's 3401-position model. Lineage: Eukaryota; Fungi; Ascomycota; Dothideomycetes; Cladosporiales; Cladosporiaceae. The record is from RNAcentral.
AUUGCCUCAGUAACGGCGAGUGAAGCGGCAACAGCUCAAAUUUGAAAUCUGGCCCGUUUCGGGUCCGAGUUGUAAUUUGUAGAGGAUGUUUUGGGUACCGCCGCGGGUUAAUUUUCUUGGAACAGAGAGCCAAAGAGGGUGAGAGUCCCGUCUUGGCCCGCGGUAGGGCUCGUGUAAAACUCCUUCGACGAGUCGACUAGUUUGGGAAUGCUGGUCAAAAUGGGUGGUAAAUUUCAUCUAAAGCUAAAUAUUGGCCAGAGACCGAUAGCGCACAAGUAGAGUGAUCGAAAGAUGAAAAGCACUUUGAAAAGAGAGUUAAACAGUAUGUGAAAUUGUUGAAAGGGAAGCGCAGGCAACCAGACUCGUGCGCGGGGUUCCCCCUUGCUUCUGCUUGGGUUACUUCCCCGUGUCCGGGCCAUCAUCAGUUUUGGGGACCGGUCAAAGACCCCGGGAAUGUAUCCUCCCCUUCGGGAGAGGACUUAUAGCCCGGGGUGUCAUGCGGCCACCUGGGACCGAGGAACGCGCUUCGGCGAGGAUGAUGGCGUAAUGGUUGUCUGCGACCCGUCUUGAAACACGGACCAAGGAGUCUAACAUCUAUGCGAGUGUUCGGGUGUCAAACCCUGGCGCGGAAUGAAAGUGAACGGAGGUAGGAAGGCGUACGCCUGCACUAUCGACCGAUCCUGAUGUCUUCGGAUGGAUUUGAGUAAGAGCAUAGCUGUUGGGACCCGAAAGAUGGUGAACUAUGCGUGAAUAGGGUGAAGCCAGAGGAAACUCUGGUGGAGGCUCGCAGCGGUUCUGACGUGCAAAUCGAUCGUCAAAUUUGCGUAUAGGGGCGAAAGACUAAUCGAACUAUCU